AAUGAAAUGCCUGAAAAAGGGUUAUUUUGAUAGAAUAAAACAUGUAAACUUAUUACUUUCAUUA
RNAcentral lists this transfer RNA (64 nucleotides) under Rhagonycha fulva. RNAcentral's name for it is "tRNA-Ile". The record is from RNAcentral. Lineage: Eukaryota; Metazoa; Arthropoda; Insecta; Coleoptera; Cantharidae.